CAUGUUACAUACUAUGUGUACUGUCUCUCCCUCUCUCUCCAUACACACAGUAUUAGUGUCAGUGCGCACUAUACACUGUGUAUCCAUGUUACAUACUAUGUGUACAGUCUCUCCCCCUCUCUCCAUACACACAGUAUUAGUGUCAGUGCGCACUAUACACUGUGUAUCCAUAUUACAUACUAUGUGUACAGUCUCUCCCUCUCUCCAUACACACAGUAUUAGUGUCAGUGCGCACUAUACACUGUGUAUCCAUGUUACAGACUAUGUGUACUGUCUCUCCCUCUCUCUCUCCAUACACACAGUAUUAGUGUCAGUGCGCACUAUACACUGUGUAUCCAUGUUACAGACUAUGUGUACAGUCUCUCCCUCUCUCUCCAUACACAC
Molecule: non-coding RNA, 384 nt
Organism: Pelobates cultripes (western spadefoot toad)
Lineage: Eukaryota; Metazoa; Chordata; Amphibia; Anura; Pelobatidae
Source: the annotation of a GenBank genome assembly